AUUGAACGCUGGCGGCAGGCCUAACACAUGCAAGUCGAGCGGAGCGGCGGACGGGUGAGUAAUGCCUAGGAAUCUCCCUGGUAGUGGGGGAUAACGUCCGGAAACGGGCGCUAAUACAGCAUAUUUGCAGAAGAGCCUAGGUCGGCUUAGCUAGUUGGGUGGUUAAAGGCCUACCAAGGCGACGAUCCGUAACUGGUCGGAGAGGAUGAUCAAUCACACUGGAACUGAGACACGGUCCAGAAUCCUACGGGAGGGAGCAGUGGGGAAUAUUGGACAAUGGGCGAAAGCCUGAUCCAGCCAUGCCGCGUGUGUGAAGAAGGUCUUCGGAUUGUAAAGCACUUUAAGUUGGGAGGCGUUACCAACAGAAUAAGCACCGGCUAACUUCGUGCCAGCAGCCGCGGUAAUAC
This 407-nucleotide ribosomal RNA is filed under the name uncultured bacterium. RNAcentral's name for it is "partial 16S ribosomal RNA". It matches the Rfam family "Bacterial small subunit ribosomal RNA", at positions 30 to 526 of the family's 1533-position model. The record is from RNAcentral.